Molecule: ribosomal RNA, 421 nt
Filed under: uncultured bacterium
Lineage: Bacteria
Description: bacterial SSU rRNA
Rfam family: Bacterial small subunit ribosomal RNA
Source: RNAcentral
AUUGUUCGCAAUGGGCGCAAGCCUGACGACGCAACGCCGCGUGGAGGAUGAAGAUCUUCGGGUCGUAAACUCCUGUCGAGCGGGAAGAAACUCACGAGGGUGAAUAGCCCUUGUGGCUGACGGUACCGCUAAAGGAAGCCCCGGCUAACUCCGUGCCAGCAGCCGCGGUAAUACGGAAGGGGCUAGCGUUGUUCGGAAUUACUGGGCGUAAAGCGCGCGUAGGCGGCUUUUCAAGUGAGGCGUGAAAGUCCUGGGCUCAACCUGGGGACGGCGCUUCAGACUGUCUGGCUAGAGUCCGGAAGAGGGUGGUGGAAUUCCGAGUGUAGAGGUGAAAUUCGUAGAUAUUCGGAGGAACACCGGUGGCGAAGGCGGCCACCUGGUCCGGUACUGACGCUCAAGUGCGAAAGCGUGGGGAGCAAAC